RNAcentral lists this ribosomal RNA (373 nucleotides) under uncultured eukaryote. RNAcentral describes it as "partial 18S ribosomal RNA". It matches the Rfam family "Eukaryotic small subunit ribosomal RNA", at positions 592 to 976 of the family's 1831-position model. The record is from RNAcentral.
CAAUAGCGUAUAUUAAAGUUGUUGCAGUUAAAAAGCUCGUAGUUGAAUUUUUGCUUGCCGCCGAUGUCGGAACUUCCGUACGUUCGGCGGCGUGCAUCCUUGGGUGGAACCUGUGUGGCAUUAGGUUGUCGUGCAGGGGAUGCUCAUCGUUUACUGUGAAAAAAUUAGAGUGUUCAAAGCAGGCUUACGCCGUUGAAUAUAUUAGCAUGGAAUAAUAAGAUAGGACCUUGGUACUAUUUUGUUGGUUUGCGCACCGAGGUAGUGAUUAACAGGGACAGUCGGGGGUAUUCGUAUUCCAUUGUCAGAGGUGAAAUUCUUGGAUUUCUGGAAGACGGACUACUGCGAAAGCAUUUACCAAGGAUGUUUUCAUUAA